UAGUUGGGGAAAAAAGCUUUGAGGUUAAUAUCCUUGAGGAAGGACGUUACCCAAAGAAUAAGCACCGGUUAACUCCGUGCCAGCAGCCGCGGUAAUACGGGGGGUGCAAGCGUUAAUCGGAAUUACUGGGUGUAAAGGGUCUGUAGGUGGUUUGUUAAGUCAGAUGUGAAAGCCCAAGGCUUAACCUUGGAACUGCAUUUGAUACUGGCAAACUAGAGUGCGGUAGAGGAAUGGGGAAUUUCUGGUGUAGCGGUGAAAUGCGUAGAGAUCAGAAGGAACACCAAUGGCGAAGACAGCAUUCUGGACCGAUACUGACACUGAGGGACGAAAGCGUGGGGAUCAAACAGGGAUAGAAACCCUUCA
Molecule: ribosomal RNA, 363 nt
Filed under: Francisella endosymbiont of Amblyomma triste
Lineage: Bacteria; Pseudomonadati; Pseudomonadota; Gammaproteobacteria; Thiotrichales; Francisellaceae
Description: bacterial SSU rRNA
Rfam family: Bacterial small subunit ribosomal RNA
Source: RNAcentral